Cyanistes caeruleus (blue tit) is the source of this 4901-nucleotide non-coding RNA. The record is from RefSeq and is a predicted model, not a curated record. Lineage: Eukaryota; Metazoa; Chordata; Aves; Passeriformes; Paridae.
CUGAGAAGCAGAAAUCUGAGGACGCUUGGAGCCAGAAAUGAAACGAAACACUCUCAGAAUGUUAGUUUCUGCCUUGGCUCCAGCAUGUAUAAACACAGUCUGCAGUGUGUAACUUUCUCCUAAACUUCCCUAAUUGCUUGCAAUUUUUGAAGAAAAAACAACAGAAACAUGAUGAAUGAACCUUUUUUUUAAUUAGAAGUGGAAGUUGCAAGACAGCUCAGAAACAACUGAAGUCUGGAAAUGAGUCAAUUAAGAAAAAUAAAAUUGGAAAGGUCCCUUUCCUAUCCUUCUGUCAUCAGAUCUCUGGGAUUUAUGCUUUCAGCCAUUUGUCAGGGUAAGGAUUUCAACGUAUUACCCAGGCAAAGCAGAUCAAAACUGCUGAGACAACUUUGCCCUCAAAGAACCACAUGUAUAAGCUAUGCCAGCUUGCUGGAUGAACAAGCUUCCUUGGAACUCAGGCUGGCAUGGAGACUGCCGGAUAAUCCAAGUCUGUGGCUGCAAGAGUAAUGGAGCCAGGAGGCACAGUUCAGGCCAGUCUAUAAUUCCACAAUCUUGCUUGGUCGCUGUAGGACCUGGCUGUGGCCCAGCACAGCUUCACCUUGUAAAGGAGGCCCCAGAGAAGUAAUACCAGUGGAAUUGCUUCCCAGGACGCCCACUCCUCUUGUAGAUUUUGGUAUGCAGCUUCCAGGGGCAGGAAUUAUGGGCACCACUGCUUUAAGCCACUUAAAAUAUUUUGUAUUUGUAACAUUGAGUUAAUGUGUAUGGGUUAGAGAGGGAAGGAAAACUAGAAUUCUGUUCUGUAAGAAAAACCUUUGGUGCCCCCUUGUGAUAUUUUAUUAUCAGCAUUUGAAAUUAAGGGCUAUUUUCACAGAGGAAAGCAGUUCAACAUUAAGAUAAUUUCACAUUUAAGUAAGUUAAUUGAGGAAAGCAUUUAAAGAAUUAGUUUUUUUUAUUGGUAUCUAUUCUGUUUUAUAUGACAUUCUCCCUGGACCACUUUAUGAGAAUUAUUUAAGGCAGGAAAAAAGUCCAGAACAGGAACUUAAAACAAUGUCCCAGUAAGCAUUGCUGUUUGGAGCAGAAAAAUCCCACUGUACUUUCUCAUAUACCUAUUUGGGAUACAGAGUCUUGAACAUUUUCAUAACAGAAACACUUCCAGCAGAAAUGCUGAAAGGUAAGUGCAUCCCCAUAAUUGUUUUUGUACAUCACAACAGAGUACACAAGGGCAAAAGGAUACAGGAAAAUGAAGACUAACAUUUCAAUAUUCAUGGGAGUGCUACUUUUGUACAAAUCUUUCAAAAAGAGGAGAGAAUGUUUGCAACACAAGCAGAACAAAUUUUUAAAAGCAAAAAAUGUUUCUAUGGCCACUGCUAUUAUUACUAGGUCCCCUGCCCCUCUGCUACCACUGUCCACCCUGCAGCGGCCAGGGAGGCAAGGGAGGUAGAUUAGCUUCCAAAGGAGACCCUAAAAAUGAGGCUCUUUCCCUUUGCUGAGAUGGCAGUCACAGCUUUAUUUCUUGGGAUCUUUCAGAGUGAAAUUGCAGGAGGGAAAGAGGAAGAGUUAUCGAUAAGCAGUCCUUUUUCAAGACAGGGGAAAGGGGUGUGGAGGAUUUACACAACCAAUAAGGGGAACUGGGGAGAACAAGAUAAGGUAAAGAACUUAAAAGUCUGCAUUUUCGGGGGUACAUUUUUUUGGGGUCAUACCAUUUCCUAACUGCAUUACAACAUUACACCAGCUCAGGACAUGAGGAAUUUUAGUGUCUGCUCAGUGAACAUGAGAUAGAAGUCCUGCAUUUAGGCACCAGCAGCACUUCAGGAUAGUAAUUAACUUUUUUGCUGAAGUGGAAGACCACUGUACAACUGCUGAGUAACUCAGCAAUAAUCUUGCAACUCCAACAACUUUUACCAAGUAUUGCUAUGUUUAUCAAGGGUACUACUGCUUCCCAACUAACUGUCCCUUUUUUCCCAGCUACUAUCCUUCUAGCACUUCAGCCGAUUCUAGUUAGGACACAGUAUCUAAGUUUAAGUAGUUUACUGAAAUAGAUUUUUCACAAUGAGUCCAGAGUGAAAAGCAGCAGCUGAAAUACACUCAUGAUUUCCACAUCCCAUUUGCCUACAGAGAGAUUAAAUGUGCCUACAGAAUUAAGAUACAAGCACUGUUGCUUUCAGAAUGAGUGUUUGAGAACAAGCACAGAGGGGGAAAAUUAGAGGGGCUUUCAACUCCAGUCUUCAAGUCAGAAGUCUACUUUUAUACGAAACCUUGAGUGUUUAACAGAACUUAUAAGUUCAUUAAAAAUGUCAUACCAUCAAUAUUUUCAGCCUAAGAGUUGGUUUCAUUACUACUCAUCCAUUAGCAGCCAGCUCAAUAAGGUCUUACUAGCAUUUAGGCUUCUGACAAGUUUGGGUAAGUUCUAACAGCCUUCAGAAGCUUGUAAAAGAGAAAAAAAGUGUUAUGUCUUUUUGUAAUGGGUAUUUCAACUAAUCAGAGCUCAGAAAGUAAACACAAGCUUUGUUUUUGUUUAACUGAAAAUAAACACAUCAUUCCCAAAAAGCAGUCAGGUUCUGCUGUGGCAUCUGACAAGUGAUAACAGAACCUGCUACAUAUUUUGUAUCAAAAACUCCCAUAAGAUUCAGUACUGACAAAAAAUUUGCACCUGUAAAAAUAUAUAAUAUAAUCACAUCAAAUACUAAAUCAUCACAAGACUGAAGCAGAGAAAGAAAAAGGUCUGAAGCUUAGAAGAACAAAGUAUGAGAUUACAAACUUAAGGUUCAGUAAAAAUUAAUGGAAAAAAUGUUUGGAUCUUUUCAAAAUUUGUUAGAAGAAUGUGGGAGUACUACACCAAAUGACUGAACUGUGACUAUGCAGAAGACUGAUAUGAGAAAUGCUUAUCUUAGUAUGCAUUGGUCAAACAAUCCCUUGUAGAGAAAAGAAAGCCACAAUAUAAUCCUUGUUCUUGAGGGGGCUUCACUUGAAAUACUGGUUGAAUUGAAUCAAAGAAUACUUUCCAGCAGAAGCUGAGGAGCUGUUAGACACAUCUGUUGUUGGACUGUCUUAAGAGAUGAGACUAAAUUCAGAGGAUUUCUGUCCUCUGAAAGAUUGUGAAAGAACAAUCAUAAUAUUGGGGAAGAGAAGUCUAAGGGGUGGAUCAAAUAUACAGAAUAGCUAUUUUAAUAGCAAUGCUAAAAAAAAGGCAGCAGGUGAAGUGACUAGUAAUCUGGAGUAGGUCACCAACAUGGUAAUGGGACAGUAUUCUACCCAACUUUAAGACAGAACUUGAUGAGUUGACACAAGAGCUUGGCACUAGACUCCAGGAGUCCCUUUCUAAUCUGACACUGCUGUAUUUCUUGUGCCUAUGAAAACAGAAAUAAAUUACUUCUUGUAUUAAUCAGCAAGGCCUCAAUUGCCUAAGGUGUUUCAAAGAGUAACCAAUAUACGGAAUAGAAAAAAAUUAUCUGACCUACAAUAGGUGUUGAGCUACUUAAUUUAAUGACCAAAUUUUUUUAUCAUAUUUGGCUAGUUAGUGAUAAACUAACUAAUACUAACAUUCCCUAGGCUAUAAACAAUUCCAAAGAUUUAUAACCAUUUUUUGCCUAAGCUCUUCCAUACUUGUCACCAAGGAAAGAAUGAUCAGAGACUUAAGUAAUUUCAAUUUCCUUCUCACAAACCACUUGAGGUUUAUGGUUCCUGCUCCAAGAAAAAAAGAUUUAUGAAGUAAAAUUCUUGCAGCAACAUCUGUCAGCAGCAAGAGGUUACUUUCAAUAAUUCUAUUUUAGAAUUUAAACCCACAGCUCUGGCUCAAACAAUCAUGGUCAGAAAACUAAAUUCAUUCCCUGGGCAUUUGUAAGCAAUGUCACUCCUCCCACUAUAGACCAUGUCUGUCUGUCGGGAAAGGAGGAUUGCAAAAAUAAAAUUUUCAGCAGCCCAAUACUAACCCAAAUAUUAUCUUGAACAUUAUUCCCCAUGUUCCAGAGGGAAAGACAAUUCACUCCUCCCUUUCCAACAAUCUGUUUUGAGUUGUAAGAAGAAAUCUUGAGCUGGCAAAUAAUUGUGGGAAGGACAUUUUAGAAUAUUCUUGAUCAUUAUCAUUUCUACUCCAGGAGUACUUUUGCAUCCUUAUUUAUGUUAGCACCUGGCCUCAGGUCUCCAAGAAUUAAUUCAUCCCAGUACAAAAAGAAACACGAAUCCUUAGAUUCCCUGAUACUUGCAAGCUCUUUUCUGUUUUAGUUUUGUUGGAAGAGAGGUGGGGUGGGGCAUCAUUUUGGGGGUUUAGUGGUGGUGUUUCUGUUCUGGGGUGGCCUGCUUGGUUUUGUGUUGGGUGCUUGUCUUUUUAUGAAGAACCUAGGUUCUCCUUUGCUAUUUCAUCAGAGUCCAGACUCAUAGUAUUGUCAUAUGUGAUAGACACAGUAUAGAGAAAAAAACCAUACUACCAGGGACUCUACUGCCACUCUCCUACCCCAAAUACGUAAUUUCUGUCAAUAAAGCAAUCAUAUAAUGAAAGUGCUUUGAUUCCUUUCACCCAAAUUAUUAGACACUAUUAGAUAGCUAUCAUAAACCUUGUAUUCUAUUAAUAUGUAGGUAAAGAAUAACAUAUCACUACUUUAUUUCUCCCUUGUGUCAAGAAAUAAAGCUAAUUUUAUUUUAAAAUACUUUUUUUUUAAAAAAAAAAUCAUAAUGUCAUAGAGAAUACAUUUACCUAGAGAUGAGAAGUCUGGCUUCACACUUCUCCCACCUCUGGUAUAGCAGUGAUGAUCACAGAAAUUUCACUCAGACUGCAGAGCAUAGAUUACUUCUGUAAUCACCAGAUUACAUUUGUGACAGACCCAAUUGAGCAAGAGAUGUGAUUCAAGAAGACAUUUUGUGAGAUGGAUUUAGAAGGGAAAAAAACCCCAAUAAAUUUCUAAAUA